UACGUAGGGGGCAAGCGUUGUCCGGAUUUAUUGGGCGUAAAGAGCGUGUAGGCGGUCAGGUAGGUCGGUUGUGAAAACUGGAGGCUCAACCUUCAGAGGUCGACCGAAACCCCCUGGCUAGAGUCCGGGAGAGGAGAGUGGAAUUCCUGGUGUAGCGGUGACAUGCGCAGAUAUCAGGAAGAACACCCGUGGCGAAAGCGGCUCUCUGGAACGGUACUGACGCUGAGACGCGAAAGCGUGGGGAGCGAACAGG
RNAcentral lists this ribosomal RNA (253 nucleotides) under uncultured bacterium. RNAcentral's name for it is "partial 16S ribosomal RNA". It matches the Rfam family "Bacterial small subunit ribosomal RNA", at positions 524 to 776 of the family's 1533-position model. The record is from RNAcentral.